This 173-nucleotide ribosomal RNA is filed under the name uncultured Gammaproteobacteria bacterium. RNAcentral describes it as "partial 16S ribosomal RNA". Lineage: Bacteria; Pseudomonadati; Pseudomonadota; Gammaproteobacteria. The record is from RNAcentral.
UAGUUAGCCGGUGCUUAUUUCUUACGGUACCGUCAUUAGCCCUCUUUAUUAGAAAAGACCUUUCGUUCCGUACAAAAGCAGUUUACAACCCGAAGGCCUUCAUCACUGCACGCGGCAUGGCUGGAUCAGGCUUGCGCCCAUUGUCCAAAAUUCCCCACUGCUGCCUCCCGUAG